RNAcentral lists this ribosomal RNA (110 nucleotides) under uncultured bacterium. RNAcentral's name for it is "partial 16S ribosomal RNA". It matches the Rfam family "Bacterial small subunit ribosomal RNA", at positions 1373 to 1482 of the family's 1533-position model. The record is from RNAcentral.
CCCGGGCCUUGUACACACCGCCCGUCACACCAUGGGAGUUGGUUUUACCUUAAGACGGUGUGCUAACCGCAAGGAAGCAGCCGGCCACGGUAAGGUCAGCGACUGGGGUG